AUGCGGUCUUCUGCUUGAGCACAAUAAAUACUUUUUAGUGCUGAAGGUUUGGCUUUACCUGACUUUGAAGGUAGGACAAAGAUGUAUUUUACCCUACCUUGGCACCGGAGGAAGCACCAUUGCUGCAGAUGGGGCUCAGUCCGCUUGUGAGAGCUGUGCUGUACUGAAAGCUCAGGAGCCAGUCCUCACCUGGGAUCAGUAAGCAAAGCCUAUCUGGUGAAAAGCACUCGGCUUUGGCGGAGCGUAGCAGGUUUGUUUGUCAGUGCUUCAGAGUUACUAGGGCUGUGAGCUUUUGAAGCAGUGGCAGCAAAUGAAGGGUUUCUCCUAAUUUCAGCAGUCAAUCUGUGUUGCCAUGCACACUCCGUCUAGCUCAGGGUACUGCCGGUACAAUGCUGGCAGCUUUAAGACACGAGCAAGUCUGCAGGGAAAAUGCCUUUUACGCCAGUGAAGACCAAAAACAUCUGAUGGCAGGUCACAGACCAGCAGUGCCCGUGCUCCCGGAGACCUCUCCAUCCAGCUGCCUCCCUCCCAGUCUUGGAUACAAAGGCUGCAGCGGCCAGCAGCAUGAAUGCGUGAGCAGCAGUGUCGAAGAGCCUCACUCAUCUCUAGCAGCAUCCAGAACACAGGACUUUGAUUUGAUUCAUCUCCAUCCUCUGGUCACCUCUCAGUGCUGAUGCAAGGAGAAAAGCUGGCACUGCAGUUCUGGUAGGCGGAAGGUCUCCUUAGACAGAAAAGCAGUGUUGCCUGCGCAGUGUAGCAGAGGUGUGCGGGUGAGUCUCCUGCCAGCAGUGCAGGCUGCCUCUGCUGCUGCUUGCUGCCUCCCUGGCCCAGCCCAUGAAGCUUCGAUUCGGAGGAGGCAGGGAAAGUUGGAAGUCUGCAGCUGCAUUCCCAGAGUUGUGAAUUUCCCAGUAGGUGUUGCACAGACGGAAUUUUGUGGGUGUCCAUUUGUUUUGCGCUGAAUGCAUUGACUUCAGCAGUAGCUCAGGAUAUUUGGGGAAAAAAAACAACAAGGUUGAAGCACAAGCAUUUUAAAAGAAAUACUGCCAGUGCCAGCGUCCAGUGCAGACAGCCCCAG
Molecule: long non-coding RNA, 1075 nt
Organism: Gallus gallus (chicken)
Lineage: Eukaryota; Metazoa; Chordata; Aves; Galliformes; Phasianidae
Source: Ensembl